Molecule: long non-coding RNA, 3960 nt
Filed under: Schizosaccharomyces pombe (fission yeast)
Lineage: Eukaryota; Fungi; Ascomycota; Schizosaccharomycetes; Schizosaccharomycetales; Schizosaccharomycetaceae
Description: centromeric lncRNA
Source: RNAcentral
UCGAAAAAUCGCACAAAUUAUUUUUAGUCUAUUUGAACUUUUAUGCUUUAUAUGGUCAUCAAUAUUCACGCCUAAAUUUCAUAAAUUUGAAAUUUAAAAAGUAAAAACACCAAAAAAAAAGCAACAUAGACGAGAGACUGCGCAAAGUAAAAUUUGGCGACUAAACCGAAAGCCUCGAUAUCAUCUAUAUUUAAUGACUACUUAAGUUGAGAAUAGUAUUCGAUUUUUUACACUUUUAAAGGAGGACGAAAUGUGACAUUAUGUUCAUUUUUCUUGUUUGUUAAACUCCAUAACCACCACCAUGCUCUUUUGUUUUAAAAUAACAUUGACAAAAAUCAUUUUCUAACGCAUAUUUGGAAAUCAUAAACACCAAUCUAUAAUUGCUUUAGUUUUUGAGAAGCAUAACUAAAUCAUCCUCUCAAAUACAAGGAUACUAUUUUGGACAGAAUGGAUGGAUAUUGACAGUUCAAAUCGUUGCGAUACUUUUUAUUCUUAUAAUAUGGAAUUACAAAUACCGUGAUUAGCCUUACUCCGCAUUAGGGUACUGAAAACAUCUAAACCCAUCCUACUCUAUCUUGCGGUGACUGCUUAUCUUUUGCAACCCACAUAUCGGUUUUCAUUGUGUAUCAUCUUCCUGGAUAUCCUUUGUAAUAGUUUAAUCGUAGUAGAUAAACAAGCAAUGAGUAAGAAAAAAAAUGUAGUACGACGAUGAUGUGUUUUCUCAAGAUGAUAACGGAUCUAGCUUCGCCAUCAAUAAGUAUGAGGCAAAGGAGUCCAUCUUUGAUGAAACAUCCAUUUGCCUGUUGUACAUUUUUGCAGGACAACCAGCCUGAGCACAAGAGACAUGGUGUACUAGACUUUGUGCGGAAUGUCUACUUCAAAACUCGCAUCUUUAUAUCUGAUAUAUAGAGAUAUAGAGAUAUAGAGAUAUAGAGAGAGGCUGAUGAUUUAUAAACACAAACGAUAAGACUUGUAACAUGAAGUUUAUCGAAAAAGUCAAUCUUUAAAUUCCUUUCUGAACCUCUCUGUUAUGUCAGUGCUUCGGUACCAUGCUUUUAGUGCGGUCAUUUAAAGGCAUAGCGAUGAUAGUUCUAAAGUUACUGUAUUGAUCAAUUGGAAGAACAUCCAAAUAAAAAAAAGCAUGCAAAAUGCUAGUAUUAUCAGUAACUGCAAAUAAAAAAAGAUAACAAAAAUUUACAGGAUCAUCGAGAAGAGUAGAUACUGAUAAUAUUGAGAUCCACAGCACUCAACAACAGUCUUGGAUUUAUUUAGCCAUUUGCUUAACUUACUGUCUCAACAAUAUUGUUGUUUGGCAUCGCCAUAAAUAUAUGACCUAGAAGUAAAAUUCGUGUUGUCGAAACAAUUCCAAUCGGUUCACUUUUCUCUUUCAAAAGUAUAUCGAAGUAGGAAUGAUGUACUCCCAACUGCGGAUGGAAAAAGUUCUUUAUCGAUUUUAAUAUCUGGUGUUGUGGAAAAAAACGAAAUACGAUCAAAAUUGAGAAAAUUAAGAAAGAAUAUGAAUAUGGUUUUACUUAUUUUACUACCCAUGAUGUCGUUGGUUAAAAACAUGAUGUUAAGGGUGAACCGCAGCAUAUUGGUCGUUUUUAAUUAAGGAAUUGAAUGACUUUCAAAGAUGCACAGUAAUCCUUCCUUAAUCACCAUUUUAGAUUUAUUAAUUUCAACAUACGCUCUCCAUGUACUUGGAAUCGAAUUGAGAACUUGUUAUGCCACAAAUGAAUAUCUUUUUAUUGAGUAACAUCGUUAAUAAAGCAAAUGCUUCACGGUAUUUUUUGAAAUCUUUGACAGUAUUUGUUCAGCUGGGAUGGAUGAUAAUUUGACGAGGCACAUUCCUUAUACGCAAACGAAAGAUACAAUUUCGCUUUGGCAAAACAUUGCAAAUGUUGCAAUUGUCCCAAUUAUAUAUGCAUCAUUAAAUUUGCUUAGCAUUACUUUUUCCUUGGUAGUUACAUUCAGUGCCAAACAACCGCUUUAACCUUUCAUACAAAACUUUUGUGUAUUCACAGAAGCAUCCACUGGGCGGGAAACCAUUUUUCUUGUUUCUGCAUGUAUUCUUAGAAGAGAUUUAAGCUUUCCCUUGAAUUUUCGAAUGUUGAUAAAAACAAAAUAAUAGACUUUGGAAAGGUGAUUCAAUGAAUAAACAUGAAACGUUCACCGUACAUUAAUUAAGCAUCCUUUUCGACCACCCUGACUUGUUCUCUCAUCACAUCUUGAUAACCAUUUACACGAGAGAUUUAAAUGAAGAAGAAUGAAAAAUUCACUUUGACGAGUCUUGGAACCCCUAACUUGGAAAGGCACAGAUCAUGAUUGCUACAAAAGCAUUUGCACUCGGUUUCAGCUAUAGGAAGUGUGAUUGGUCGUACAUGAUGGAUUGACAUUCUCGUCUAUUUGGAUCACAUACAGAAGACAAGCCAAGUCAGAGCAGACAAUACGUAUGCGAUUGAGACAUUAUUUUUGUGAAAUUUAUGAUUCUUCCACAUGUUUGAAUGAUGUAGAAGAUGUACAGGAAACUUUUAAUGAUGAUACGAUAUCGGUUCAAUCACAAUUCAUAAGCGAAACGAAUGCCAAAUACUAAUACUAUAUAUCCAUGAAUCAUUUACCAAUAGUAUUUUUACUGUUCGUGAAUGCUGAGAAAGUUUAUGUCUAAUGUAUUAGCUGUGUCAACCAUUUAUAGUGUGAAGCCACUUUCCACUUGCAACGCUAAGGAUACCUAGACGCACAAAUACAUUAUGCUAGUGGCACGGCCAAAAUUAUUUACUCCAAAGUCUUUAUCCUCUUCGUUUAUAUCGCUAACAAGAAAUCGUAGUCACAAAUGUACAUACGUUGAAACAUUUGAACAACGUACAACAAGCCAAUAAUGACAAGAAUGGAGAUGAAAGUGGUGAUGGUUAGUGGUAGUCGUGGUAGUAAUGGAAGUGGUAAGUGGAAGUGGUAAGUGGAAGUGGUAAGUGGAAGUGGUAAGUGGAAGUGGUAAGUGGAAGUGGUAAGUGGAAGUGGUAAGUGGAAGUGGUAAGUGGAAGUGGUAAGUGGAAGUGGUGGUGGUGGUGGUAGUGCUUGUGGUAAGUGUAAGUGGUAAGUGGAAGUGGUAGUGGUAGUGGUGCUGUGCUGAUGCUGGCGCCGAUACUGGUGAUGAUGUUGAUGCCUAUACUGACACUAGUACUGACACUAGAUGACACUAGUACUGGUACUAAUGGUACCAUUCAACUUGGCAAGUAUAAGACUUAUGUGUGUAAGUGGUAAAAAAUCAAUGAGUAAACUCCACUAAGAAAAUUUCACAACUCCGUUGAUUCUUUUGAGUAUACAAACAUGAACGUUCAAGUUUUACCUUUGUUAAUUCAAUUCUAAUUAUACUGGUUUGUACUUGCUAAGCAUGUCCUGUUCACUUAUCUAAUUCGUUUCAAUUGCGGCAACUCUGGUCCGAUUUAUAAUUCGAAGGACUGAGUUUUUACCCUUUGGAUAAAGUUUUUCAACAUACUUACAAUGAUUAUGGUCUCCACUCCUGACGUAGGUCCAUGUGGUAAUAGAACACAAACUUCAAAAUCUCAUCACUAUAUUAUACUUGGUACAACAUGCAAUACCGAUUGUAUAUACCGAAUACAGUUUCCUAUUGCAAUGAAUGUGAUUUAAUCAUUUUAUGGGAGUUUUUUCAUUCAAAACUGCUUUAAAUCUAAAAACUCUUCUUUAUUCUUGACACUCGUAUAUGUUGUCUGAUAUUCCUAUUCGUGUUUCAAUAACGAAGUUUACUUUCAUUCAAAUAAAUAGAACCAAUCAAGUUUACUAGUGCUUAUUUUUUUCUUUUUUAAUAAAAAGAAUGAAUAUUAGGUGUAUGAUAUGAAUACGUUUUUGUUUGUUUGUUUGCAAAUUAAAAUUAAAAACAACAAAAAAUUAAAGCUACUGAUUUAACUUUGCUUAUUCCAUAACACUUCUUACUCAAUCUCACAU